AUGGCAAAACAUGGCAGGCCAAGCAGCACACCUGCUCCUGCUGCAGCCCAGAGGCACUGUGAUGAGACAGCAGUGACUGACUUCACCUCAGCUAAAGCAGGAAGCGAGGUGAGAUUAGAAACCAAAAUGUCACCACUGGGAAUCAGGCAUGAAUCCUCUGAGCACUGGCAAGCAAUACUGCAGAUGACCCUCAGGUACCUGAUGCAUCAGCAACACCUGCUACAUCAGCAGACAAGGGAACACCACAGUGAAAAUCUUCAGGAGAAGGAGAGAGACAUAGUGAGGGAUUUCAGGACUGGUGUGUAACACGUGGACAGUGAAAUUAAAAACUGAAGACAGAAUUGCCAAGAUAUAACAAGACAUAUCUGUUAUACAUUAAGAGAAAUGAAUAUAAUAUAAUGUAUAUUAAAUGCAUAACAUUUAAUUUUCCCAUUGCACUCACUGUCAUCUGUUUCAUCAUUGACAUUAUUUCCUUUUGCUUUCCACUAGAAAACACAGUUAAGAGGUUUUGUUAAGCAAUUGCUAUAUGAAGCCAAAGGCUAUGCAUCUGUGAUCUGAGCCUGUAAAUCUUUUCACAUGGUAUAUUAAUCUUUUUUAAUAUGUGAACAGUCCGUUGGAAAUCCAGCAGUGUGAGCAGUAUAGUAUUUCUGUUGCAUUUAUAUUCUUCUGUCUCCAUUCUGAAAAAAAAAAUUAAAAAAUCUCAGAUCUAUUCUGAAGCUGUUUGCGUAAGACGUGUCCCAUAUUUUGUGUAAUCUCUCAACUCUGACUUAAGCUUUUCAUAUCACAGAGUGCUCAAUCCCCUUUCUUGAGUUAUGUUUUGUUAUUACUCCAAACAGUUUUUCAGUGCUUUGCACAGCAGAAGGUCUACCUCUUCUAAAUCUAAACAGAAUGGAAAGACUGGACUGAGGUAUAUGUUCAACAUUUCUCAUUAUUGACUAGAGGAAGAGAAGGAACGGUAAUUUUCCAAUAAUAUUUUCUCUAAGUGAAGUGCAAUCUAAGUACAAAAUAUGUCAAAAUAUAAAGGCAACCCUUAGUGUCAAAAGAUUUUUCUGGGUGUAAAAAUCUGCUAAAAUAUCAUGUGCAUUAGAAGCUGCCACAAACAUCUUCAAAUACAGUCUAAAGAAUUAC
This 1128-nucleotide long non-coding RNA is filed under the name Anser brachyrhynchus (Pink-footed goose). RNAcentral's name for it is "lncRNA (ENSABRG00000020109.1)". Lineage: Eukaryota; Metazoa; Chordata; Aves; Anseriformes; Anatidae. The record is from RNAcentral.